Anas platyrhynchos (mallard) is the source of this 1327-nucleotide long non-coding RNA. RefSeq lists it as uncharacterized. NCBI's taxonomy places the organism in Eukaryota, Metazoa, Chordata, Aves, Anseriformes, Anatidae. The record is from RefSeq and is a predicted model, not a curated record.
AGGGGCCGGGGGGCGGGAGCGCGCUCGCUCCCUCACAAAUACCUCAUCCCUCCUGCCUUAGGGCUCCUCGGAGAUAGUAUUAGUGCUUUUUGGUGAACCUGAAGGGCUUUUCUAGUUUUGUGUGCUCCCGAGGGUUGUUUGCAGUGCUCACUACUAGCAUGGGUCUGUGGGUUGUAUAUUUGCAAACAGCAGCUGUGCUAAUAAAGCUGAUGCACUUGGCAGAAAUGAAGAAAAAUAUCACCUACCCUGCUUCUUGCCACACUUGAUCGGAAGAUAAUAAACAGCUGGUGAAGCCUCCUGGGAAUAUGCUUGGAGUUUCCAACAAUUUACAUCUGUUGAUUCCCAAAAUCAGGGGUAGCAUCUUGCUUGGCAGCUCGCAAUGUAUACAUCCUCCAGAAAUUCAUCCAGAUGACUCUCUGCUCCCUGUGAACUUGCAGUACAUGCAACAUCCUGCAGUAGGGCGCUCCGCAGUGUAGUCAAUGCAGGAAGAAUCACUUUCUUUGCUUUCAACCUGACAUCCUUGUGUCACUUUUCGGCUACUAUUCUAUGAACUUUUCCAGUUCUAGCAUGUGCUGUUUGAGAUGGUAGCGUUGAAAAUGCAUACAGUGUUCACGUUACAAACAUACAUUGGAUUUAGAAAGUGGCAUAACUAUUCUGUGUGUUCUCAAAGUAUUUCCUAAAUAUUUCUAACGUUUAAGACAUUGUUGAAUACUGCUAGGCACUGAGCUGCCGUCGUCCUAAAUAUACCUAUUAAAUUUCCAAGAUUACACUCCUGAAGUGCAGGGGUCCGCUCAGUCAUAAUUACUCAUAAUUUUGAACAUUUUUCCCCACUUGCGUCACUGAAAAUCACUUUAUUGCCAGUCACUGAAGGCCCAGUUCAGUUGCCCAGAUCUAGGUGUCUAGCUCUACUUCAGGUGACCCAGGGUAUCUCACUGAGGCUUCAGAAGGGCGUGGGACUCCAUCAGAUCCCCUGCAAGAACCAUUAAGAUGUCUCCCAUGUGCAAGGGCGUGAGUGUGGGUAAUUGAGCCCUGAGUAUUUAAGGUCUUUUUGUAAUUCUUCUCAGCCACACCUCUUCUUUUCUUCCAUGAACAAUGUGGUAUGAGGAGGAUUUGUCUUUUCAUUCUUCACCUCCAUAUUCAAAUUAUUUACAUAUAAGGACACAGAUAUGAAGGAUUAUUGGUGACUUACUUUCACUGUGAAAAAUUACUUUACUUAGUCUGUUUCCUAUCUUGUAACCACAUUUUGCUCCAUGCAAGGAUUUUCUCUUAUUCCAUGCAUGCUAAGUCUCCUUAAGAGCCUUAGGUUAAAAAAAAAAAAAAAAAAAAA